UUCUUGACCUCAGAUCAGGCAAGGCUACCCGCUGAAUUUAAGCAUAUUAAUAAGCGGAGGAAAAGAAACUAACAAGGAUUCCCUCAGUAACAGCGAGUGAAGCGGGAACAGCUCAAAUUUGAAAUCUCCGGCGCUUGCGUCGGCGAGUUGUAGUUGCGAGAAGCACUUUCUAGGCGGAUCGGUGGUGCCUAAGUCGCUUGGAACAGUACGUCAUAGAGGGUGACAACCCCGUCCGUGGCACGACCGGCCGCUCACGA
This 257-nucleotide ribosomal RNA is filed under the name Goniopora stokesi. RNAcentral's name for it is "partial 28S rRNA". It matches the Rfam family "Eukaryotic large subunit ribosomal RNA", at positions 1 to 249 of the family's 3401-position model. The record is from RNAcentral. Lineage: Eukaryota; Metazoa; Cnidaria; Anthozoa; Scleractinia; Poritidae.